UCAAGGAAAACGUUUCUCCCUCUUCUUCAUUUUCUUGAAUUCUUAAUUCCCAAGAGCUUUUAUAUUUUGUUUCUUGCAUCUACCAUGUUAACGUCCUUUUACAAGCUUUUUAAAUUCUUUAUUUAUGACAAUGUAAAUUUCCUUAGUUAAUUCUGAUUGUUUCCAUUUUUCAUAUUCAACAUUAGUAACUUCUUUUCACAAUCUUUUCACAUUCUUCACCGUACUCUAUAUAAGUGUACAAUAAGAUGUCUUUGUUCCAUUAUCCUUUGUAAAUUCUUACGGCAAGAAAUUUCUUUUUUCCCAAAAGAGUAUACUUCACUCACCAGUAUUUGUAAACAGAUGAAAGGAGUCAUAAUCUUGAAUCAAGUAAAGGGUUCUUCUUUACACCAUGAAAUGAAUUAUGAUUUACUAGCCACCCUAAGGAAGACCUAUGUUGAUCGAAUUUCUAUACAACUUCUACAAGUUACAACUUUCACCUGACAACAGCUUCUUGAUAUGUAUGCGACUGUAAAACUAAGAAGGAUUCAAUUUCUUAAAGACAAAGCAGGAACUUCUAGAUGUGAAGUAUCCACAACUAUAGUCGACGUUGCUCAUAUUCAAAUGUAAACUACAUGUUGUCCAAAUAUAAAGAGGCAAUGAAAAUAUCAAAUUGAAUAUUUGGUAUGACAAUCAUAUUUAUAUAGCUAUAUUUGUUGUUUAAAUAAUAUCAA
Non-coding RNA from Nicotiana tabacum (common tobacco), 710 nucleotides. The record is from RefSeq and is a predicted model, not a curated record. NCBI's taxonomy places the organism in Eukaryota, Viridiplantae, Streptophyta, Magnoliopsida, Solanales, Solanaceae.